GACGAACGCUGGCGGCGUGCUUAACACAUGCAAGUCGAACGGAAAGGCCCUGCUUGCAGGGUACUCGAGUGGCGAACGGGUGAGUAACACGUGGGUGAUCUGCCCUGCACUUCGGGAUAAGCCUGGGAAACUGGGUCUAAUACCGGAUAUGACCUUCCAUGUAGUGUGGGGGGUGGAAGAUUUAUCGGUUUGGGAUGAGCCCGCGGCCUAUCAGCUUGUUGGUGGGGUAAUGGCCUACCAAGGCGUCGACGGGUAGCCGGCCUGAGAGGGUGGACGGCCACAUUGGGACUGAGAUACGGCCCAGACUCCUACGGGAGGCAGCAGUGGGGAAUAUUGCACAAUGGGCGGAAGCCUUAUGCAGCGACGCCGCGUGGGGGAUGACGGCCUUCGGGUUGUAAACCUCUUUCGACAGGGACGAAGCUUCGGUGACGGUACCUGUAUAAGAAGCACCGGCUAACUACGUG
Molecule: ribosomal RNA, 464 nt
Filed under: uncultured bacterium
Lineage: Bacteria
Description: partial 16S ribosomal RNA
Rfam family: Bacterial small subunit ribosomal RNA
Source: RNAcentral